GCAUCGAUGAAGAACGCAGCGAAAUGCGAUACGUAAUGCGAAUUGCAGAUUCAGCGAGUCAUCGAAUCUUUGAACGCACAUUGCGCCCGCCAGCAUUCUGGCGGGCAUGCCUGUCCGAGCGUCAUU
This 126-nucleotide ribosomal RNA is filed under the name Ophiostoma minus. RNAcentral describes it as "partial 5.8S ribosomal RNA". It matches the Rfam family "5.8S ribosomal RNA", at positions 30 to 154 of the family's 154-position model. From Rfam's summary of the family: 5.8S ribosomal RNA (5.8S rRNA) is a component of the large subunit of the eukaryotic ribosome. It is transcribed by RNA polymerase I as part of the 45S precursor that also contains 18S and 28S rRNA. Functionally, it is thought that 5.8S rRNA may be involved in ribosome translocation. The record is from RNAcentral. Lineage: Eukaryota; Fungi; Ascomycota; Sordariomycetes; Ophiostomatales; Ophiostomataceae.